Molecule: ribosomal RNA, 554 nt
Filed under: uncultured Methanosarcina sp.
Lineage: Archaea; Methanobacteriati; Methanobacteriota; Methanomicrobia; Methanosarcinales; Methanosarcinaceae
Description: bacterial SSU rRNA
Rfam family: Archaeal small subunit ribosomal RNA
Source: RNAcentral
ACGGCUCAGUAACACGUGGAUAACCUGCCCUUUGGACCGGCAUAACCCCGGGAAACUGGGGAUAAUUCCGGAUAACGCAUAUGUGCUGGAAUGCUUUAUGCGUCAAAUGGAUUCGUCCGCCCAAGGAUGGGUCUGCGGCCUAUCAGGUAGUAGUGGGUGUAAUGUACCUACUAGCCGACAACGGGUACGGGUUGUGAGAGCAAGAGCCCGGAGAUGGAUUCUGAGACAUGAAUCCAGGCCCUACGGGGCGCAGCAGGCGCGAAAACUUUACAAUGCGGGAAACCGUGAUAAGGGGACACCGAGUGUCAGCAUCAUAUGCUGGCUGUCCAGGUGUGUAAAAUACACCUGUUAGCAAGGGCCGGGCAAGACCGGUGCCAGCCGCCGCGGUAACACCGGCGGCCCGAGUGGUGAUCGUGAUUAUUGGGUCUAAAGGGUCCGUAGCCGGUUUGGUCAGUCCUCCGGGAAAUCUGAUAGCUCAACUAUUAGGCUAUCGGGGGAUACUACCAGACUUGGAACCGGGAGAGGUAAGAGGUACUACAGGGGUAGGAGUGAAA